GACGAACGCUGGCGGCGUGCUUAACACAUGCAAGUCGUACGGGCUUGGGGGGCAACUCUCAAGUCAGUGGCGAACGGGUGCGUAACACGUGAGCAACUUGCCCUAUGGUGGGGGAUAGCCGGCCCAACGGCCGGGUAAUACCGCAUAUGGCGCCGGGGUCACAUGGCCCUGGUGGGAAAGCGGCCGCAAGGUCGCGCCAAAGGUGGGGCUCGCGACGUAUCAGCUAGUUGGCGGGGUAACGGCCCACCAAGGCUACGACGCGUAGCUGGUCUGAGAGGAUGGCCAGCCACAUUGGGACUGAGAUACGGCCCAGACUCCUACGGGAGGCAGCAGUGGGGAAUAUUGCGCAAUGGCCGCAAGGCUGACGCAGCGACGCCGCGUGUGGGAUGACGGCCUGGU
Molecule: ribosomal RNA, 399 nt
Filed under: uncultured bacterium
Lineage: Bacteria
Description: bacterial SSU rRNA
Rfam family: Bacterial small subunit ribosomal RNA
Source: RNAcentral